RNA transcript from Ailuropoda melanoleuca (giant panda), 3612 nucleotides. It is a transcript of the gene named CD300a molecule, with no coding region annotated. The transcript has 9 exons. The record is from RefSeq and is a predicted model, not a curated record. NCBI's taxonomy places the organism in Eukaryota, Metazoa, Chordata, Mammalia, Carnivora, Ursidae.
CCGUGCCAGCUUGGGGGUCUGGGCCUUGAGCUGGGGGCUCAUAGAAGGGGAGCUCCCUGUGACAGCCUCACUGUGGGUGCCACCAGGGCUGGAGAAGGACGCAGGCCUUGGCUCCGCCCCACUGGGUGCUCAGCCUGACCACAAGGAAACCGGAGGAAUUACUGGGCCCAGAAGGAAGGAAACCGGGCCCUGUGGUGUUGGGGGUGUAAUGGAGGGGGGCGGGGCGCAGGCCUUUGGCACUGUGAAGGAGCGGGGAUCCCGGCACUGGAAGCGCCUGUGGGAUCUGUGACACAGCUGUGAUGGGUAGGAGGGCGCCUGGGUCCUGGGGAUCUCACCACAUCAUCGGUCCCAGAGACUUUGCUCCCUCGGUGCCCUUCAUUUUCUGACCAGCUCUAGGAACAGGACCUCAAGAUACCAAAGCAGGAAGCAGCAGGCACAAAGAAAAGCAGAAGUGGAAGAUUUGGAGACUCAACUCUGCUCCUUGAAGGGGCCUGAAGCUUCCUGGCGCUGCUGUGGGUGACGUCUGUGCCGGAGAGAUGACCUGGCAGGGCCGGGUCGCGUGGCUGCCUUGGGCUCUGCUGCUUGUCUGGGGCCCAGGCUCCUGGUCGCUGAGUGGCCCCAACUCCAUGACGGGCACCGUGGGGAGAUCCCUGAGUGUGCAGUGUCGGUACGAGGAGAAAUACAGAGAGAAUGCCAAAUACUGGUGCAAAAACCGAUGUGUGUGGAAGAUUGUGGAGACCAAAGCGGCAGACAGAGAAGUGAGGAAAGACCGUGUGUCCAUCAGGGACCAUCGUGCAAACCUCACCUUCACAGUGACCUUGGAGAGCCUCACAAAAGGUGAUGCAGGAACGUACUGGUGUGGGAUUGAUACAUCAUGGCUCUCAGGACAUUUCCGUGACCCCACACUCCGUGUUGUGGUGUCUGUGAGCCCAGCAAAAACGACUGCACCACCUGUCAGCACCACUGUAACCCCGAUGUCGACAAUCACAGCUAAAAUUCUGACCACACCAUCUCAGUCCUCAUCCACUGCUCCGACCACCAUGGGAGCCACCCACAGUGCAAGCAGCCAGGAGGAAUUCCCACCGAGCCAGGGCCUGGGGCUCCAAAUACUCCUCUCCUUGUUGGCACUUCUCCUGCUUCUGCUGGGGGGCAGCUCGCUGCUGGCCUGGAGGAUGGUUCGCAGACGGGUCAAAUCGGGUAAGAAUCCAGAGCCACUCCGGACCCCUAGUCAGGCGACGCAGCAAGGGGAGCCCCACUAUGCGAAUCUGGAGCUGCAGAUGUGGCCCCUUCGGGGAGAGCCCGUGCACCCCAGGCAGGCGGAGGUGGAAUACAGCACAGUGAAAGCUCCUGGGGAAGAGCCUCACUACUCGUCUGUGGUGUUUGACUUCCAGAAUGAGGGUUCUAAGGCCAGCAGGAUUCGCUCCCAGAGGACCCUGGAGGAGGAGACACAGUACAGCGUCAUUAAGAAGACAUAAGCCUGUGUCCCCAGCGCCACCAUCUGGAGCUGUGUGAAGGGCAGGAGCUAGGUCCCGUGUGGCUCCGGGAAAAGACGUGACCCACGUAGGCCGGUACCUGCAAAUACCUUUAUAAAUCACAGCUCCAUGGAAGUGUCUGGGAUCGCUGCAGCAUGGGGACAACUGGCGGCGGGAUCAGGCGAAUACAAAGGGCUUGAAGAUAGAGUCUCCCUUGUCUCAUGGACAAGGACGCCGAAGCCCAGAGAGCAGAGGCUUGCCCAUGACCCCAGAGCCAGUGACACAUUCUCCUGGACUCUUAGAUGACUUUAUUUUUAAUAUUAAGAAGGAUCGAUACAGUUUAAAAUAUCUUCAGAGAGAAGAAAAACGUUAUUUAAGCCAUGCCUGCUAUGUGCCUGCCAUCCUGUAUUAAAGGAGCCCCUCCCUUUGGAAGGCUGUCCCACUACGCUUGUCCUUUUGGCCAUCGACGGGCGCUGGGUUGGUUUCCGUGUUUUAGCUGCUGUGAAUAUGUUGCUAUGAUCAUGAUGUAGAAAUAGCUCGUUGAAACCCUGCUUUCGACUCUUUCAGAUAUAGACCCAGAAGGGGAAUUGCUGGAUCUUUAGAUAAAUCUAUUUCUAAGCUUUUGAGGAACUGCCAUCGUGUUUUCCACAGCAACUGCUCCAUUUUACAUUCCCACCAGCGGCGCGCAAGGCUUCCAAUUUCCCCACGUGCUCUCCAGCACUUGUUUUCUGUUUUUUGUUUGUUUGUUUUGUUAGGAGCCAUCCUAAUGGAGGUGGCAUAUCAUUGGAAUUUUGAUUGGCCUCUCCCCAGCGAUGAGUGAUGGGCUCGUUGGUCAGCUGUGUGUCUUCUUUGGAAAUGUCUAUUCAAGUCCUUUGUCCAGUUUUGAAAUGAGUUUUUUGUUGUUGAAUUUUAGCUGUCUAUAUAUUCUGGAUGUUAAUCCCUUAUCAGAUUUAUAAUUUGAAAAUAUUUUCUCUCAUUCUGUAGGUGGCCUUUUUAGUCUGUUGAUAGCAUCUUUGGUGCACAAAAGUUUAUCUUUUUUUAAAGAUUUUAUUUAUUUGAGAGAGAGAGGGAGAGUGAACGCAAGAGAGGGAGCGAGCACCAGAGUGGGGAGAGGCAGAGGGAGAGGGAGAAGCAGGCUCCUCACUGAUCAAGGAGCCCAACGUGGGGCUUGAUCCCAGGACCCUGGGAUCAUGACCUGAGCCGAGGGCAGACGCUUGACAGACUGAGCCACCGGCGUCCUGAUGUGCACAAAACUUAAUUUCCUUGAUGUCCUAUUUGUCUAUUUUUUCUUUUGUUGCUUGUGCCUUUUGGCUCAGAUAGGCACAGCUAGGGGAGGAUGCCAUCCGACACCACAGGACACACCGCAGGACAGUACCUGGGUGUCCCAGGCUUACUCCAAUGGAAGUCAUGCAACCUCUCUGGCCAGCGGUUCUUCUAGAAAAUAAAGAAAGCCUUCUGUUCCCCCUGCUCUAAAGUUUCCAUUGGAUGAAUAAACCUCAGCUCACCCAUUCCCAGAAAGAAAGAGAAGUUGAUCUUACUAAUAUAUUUUAUUUACCCCAAUAUAUCCAAAGUAUAACCAUUUCAACAUGUCAUCAUUGUGUUAAAUUAUCAGCGAGAGAUUUACUUUCUCUUAUUUGUGCUAAGGCUUAGACUCACAGCCCAGCACCUGAGACCAGCACAUUUCACGAGUUAGGACCCAGCUGUGGCCAGCGGCUGCCUGAGCUGCACAUCGCAGUCUUUGUGCAGGCUCUCUGGGCAUGUCCGAGUCGGGGCCCAGCCCACACGUGGCCACCAGCCUCCUUCUCCCCCUUCCCCGUCCAGGCCACCCUUUCCUGGUCUGAGGCUGGAAAGCCUUCUCUUGAUCCUCACUGUUCACUCAAAAUCUCUGAUCUGGGCACAUCUCUUCUUCCAGCGAAGCCUGGAGGGUUUUGGAACCACCAAGGCAAGCAGCCUUCAUCCUCUGCUUUCGGGCUGUGCCACACCGUCCCCGAGGCAAUGGAAGCAGUAGGCCUCCCGGAGUGAAUGGAGUAGAACCAAGGGGCGCCUGGGUGGCUCAGUCAUUAAGCGUCUGCCUUCAGCUCAGGGCGUGAUCCCAGAGUCCUGGGAUCAAGCCCCGUAUCGGGUUCCCUGCUCCACUGGG